ACCCUCCAGAUAAUUUACCCCUUGGAUCUAAAUAUCAGUCUGAGUGGCUAAAAAAAGACAAAAGUAUUUUUGAAGUGGAUGUGGAGUCUUGAGUGACAUACCAGUCAAUUUCAAACAUGA
Molecule: small nucleolar RNA, 120 nt
Filed under: Echinops telfairi (small Madagascar hedgehog)
Lineage: Eukaryota; Metazoa; Chordata; Mammalia; Afrosoricida; Tenrecidae
Description: Small nucleolar RNA SNORA61 (ENSETEG00000025983.1)
Source: RNAcentral